CAUUUCUGUCUCUUACCGAACUGCUGUGUGGACCACGUGUGAAACAGCGGUGCUGCUCUUCCUUUCUCUCCAAACUGGAACGCUUCUAACUCACAGAUCCCGCGCUCAGCAUGGACCAUCUUCUCCAUCUUUGACAAUUCUCUGAAAAGUCUCCAGCUGCCAAACCGCCUCCUUCCAUCACAACAUCAGCCUCAAUAUCUGAUCUGGGAACAGACGUGGAGGUACAGGCACAAAUUAAUAAAUCACACAGGUGCAAUAUAGAGGAACCACCCCUAGGAGCGUCAUUAGCAGGAACCUCAGGGGACCAGUGAGGUUGAGAGAGGAGCUCUGGGAUUGCAGCAGCCUUGGACACCAGCUCUGACUGAGACUAAGACAGGAA
Long non-coding RNA from Labeo rohita (rohu), 379 nucleotides. RefSeq lists it as uncharacterized. The transcript has 3 exons. The record is from RefSeq and is a predicted model, not a curated record. Lineage: Eukaryota; Metazoa; Chordata; Actinopteri; Cypriniformes; Cyprinidae.